Molecule: ribosomal RNA, 1767 nt
Filed under: Escherichia coli
Lineage: Bacteria; Pseudomonadati; Pseudomonadota; Gammaproteobacteria; Enterobacterales; Enterobacteriaceae
Description: partial 23S ribosomal RNA
Rfam family: Bacterial large subunit ribosomal RNA
Source: RNAcentral
CCGCCAGCUAAGGUCCCAAAGUCAUGGUUAAGUGGGAAACGAUGUGGGAAGGCCCAGACAGCCAGGAUGUUGGCUUAGAAGCAGCCAUCAUUUAAAGAAAGCGUAAUAGCUCACUGGUCGAGUCGGCCUGCGCGGAAGAUGUAACGGGGCUAAACCAUGCACCGAAGCUGCGGCAGCGACGCUUAUGCGUUGUUGGGUAGGGGAGCGUUCUGUAAGCCUGUGAAGGUGGCCUGUGAGGGUUGCUGGAGGUAUCAGAAGUGCGAAUGCUGACAUAAGUAACGAUAAAGCGGGUGAAAAGCCCGCUCGCCGGAAGACCAAGGGUUCCUGUCCAACGUUAAUCGGGGCAGGGUGAGUCGACCCCUAAGGCGAGGCCGAAAGGCGUAGUCGAUGGGAAACAGGUUAAUAUUCCUGUACUUGGUGUUACUGCGAAGGGGGGACGGAGAAGGCUAUGUUGGCCGGGCGACGGUUGUCCCGGUUUAAGCGUGUAGGCUGGUUUUCCAGGCAAAUCCGGAAAAUCAAGGCUGAGGCGUGAUGACGAGGCACUACGGUGCUGAAGCGACAAAUGCCCUGCUUCCAGGAAAAGCCUCUAAGCAUCAGGUAACAUUAAAUCGUACCCCAAACCGACACAGGUGGUCAGGUAGAGAAUACCAAGGCGCUUGAGAGAACUCGGGUGAAGGAACUAGGCAAAAUGGUGCCGUAACUUCGGGAGAAGGCACGCUGAUAUGUAGGUGAAGCGACUUGCUCGUGGAGCUGAAAUCAGUCGAAGAUACCAGCUGGCUGCAACUGUUUAUUAAAAACACAGCACUGUGCAAACACGAAAGUGGACGUAUACGGUGUGACGCCUGCCCGGUGCCGGAAGGUUAAUUGAUGGGGUUAGCGGUAACGCGAAGCUCUUGAUCGAAGCCCCGGUAAACGGCGGCCGUAACUAUAACGGUCCUAAGGUAGCGAAAUUCCUUGUCGGGUAAGUUCCGACCUGCACGAAUGGCGUAAUGAUGGCCAGGCUGUCUCCACCCGAGACUCAGUGAAAUUGAACUCGCUGUGAAGAUGCAGUGUACCCGCGGCAAGACGGAAAGACCCCGUGAACCUUUACUAUAGCUUGACACUGAACAUUGAGCCUUGAUGUGUAGGAUAGGUGGGAGGCUUUGAAGUGUGGACGCCAGUCUGCAUGGAGCCGACCUUGAAAUACCACCCUUUAAUGUUUGAUGUUCUAACGUGGGCCCCUUACCGGGGUUGCGGACAGUGUCUGGUGGGUAGUUUGACUGGGGCGGUCUCCUCCUAAAGAGUAACGGAGGAGCACGAAGGUUGGCUAAUCCUGGUCGGACAUCAGGAGGUUAGUGCAAUGGCAUAAGCCAGCUUGACUGCGAGCGUGACGGCGCGAGCAGGUGCGAAAGCAGGUCAUAGUGAUCCGGUGGUUCUGAAUGGAAGGGCCAUCGCUCAACGGAUAAAAGGUACUCCGGGGAUAACAGGCUGAUACCGCCCAAGAGUUCAUAUCGACGGCGGUGUUUGGCACCUCGAUGUCGGCUCAUCACAUCCUGGGGCUGAAGUAGGUCCCAAGGGUAUGGCUGUUCGCCAUUUAAAGUGGUACGCGAGCUGGGUUUAGAACGUCGUGAGACAGUUCGGUCCCUAUCUGCCGUGGGCGCUGGAGAACUGAGGGGGGCUGCUCCUAGUACGAGAGGACCGGAGUGGACGCAUCACUGGUGUUCGGGUUGUCAUGCCAAUGGCACUGCCCGGUAGCUAAAUGCGGAAGAGAUAAGUGCUGAAAGCAUC